AGUGGGGAAUAUUGGACAAUGGGGGAAACCCUGAUCCAGCGACGCCGCGUGUGUGAAGAAGGCCUGCGGGUUGUAAAGCACUUUUAGUGGGGACAAAAAGCCAGGGGCUAACACCACCUGGUCUUGAUUUAACCCACAGAAAAAGCACCGGCUAACUCUGUGCCAGCAGCCGCGGUAAUACAGAGGGUGCGAGCGUUAAUCGGAAUUACUGGGCGUAAAGCGCGCGUAGACGGUUUUGUAAGUCAGAUGUGAAAUCCCCGGGCUCAACCUGGGAACUGCAUUUGAUACUGCCUGGCUAGAGUACGGUAGAGGGAAGUGGAAUUUCCGGUGUAGCGGUGAAAUGCGUAGAUAUCGGAAGGAACACCAGUGGCGAAAGCGACUUCCUGGACCAGUACUGACGUUCAUGUGCGAAAGCGUGGGGAGCAAA
This 427-nucleotide ribosomal RNA is filed under the name uncultured Lysobacterales bacterium. Its description in RNAcentral is "bacterial SSU rRNA". It matches the Rfam family "Bacterial small subunit ribosomal RNA", at positions 353 to 772 of the family's 1533-position model. The record is from RNAcentral. Lineage: Bacteria; Pseudomonadati; Pseudomonadota; Gammaproteobacteria; Lysobacterales.